GACGAACGCUGGCGGCGUGCCUAAUACAUGCAAGUAGAACGCUGAAGGAGGAGCUUGCUCUUCUGGAUGAGUUGCGAACGGGUGAGUAACGCGUAGGUAACCUGCCUGGUAGAGGGGGAUAACUAUUGGAAACGAUAGCUAAUACCGCAUAAGAGUAGAUGUUGCAUGACAUUUACUUAAAAGGUGCAAUUGUAUCACUACCAGAUGGACCUGCGUUGUAUUAGCUAGUUGGUGGGGUAACGGCUUACCACGGCGACGAUACAUAGCCGACCUGAGAGGGGGAUCGGCCACACUGGGACUGAGACACGGCCCAGACUCCUACGGGAGGCAGCAGUAGGGAAUCUUCGGCAAUGGACGGAAGGCUGACCGAGCAACGCCGCGUGAGUGAAGAAGGUUUUCGGAUCGUAAAGCUCUGUUGUAAGAGAAGAACGAGUGUGAGAGUGGAAAGUUCACACUGUGACGGUAGCUUACCAGAAAGAGACGGCUAACUACGUG
This 495-nucleotide ribosomal RNA is filed under the name uncultured bacterium. Its description in RNAcentral is "partial 16S ribosomal RNA". It matches the Rfam family "Bacterial small subunit ribosomal RNA", at positions 28 to 507 of the family's 1533-position model. The record is from RNAcentral.